GACGAACGCUGGCGGCGUGCUUAACACAUGCAAGUCGAACGGUGAAGCCCUGCUUUUGUGGGGUGCUCGAGAGGCGAACGGGUGAGUGCCACGUGAGUAACCUCCCCUUGACAUUCUGAUAUAUUCAGGGGAAUGGGGCUAAUACAGGAUAGAUGCUCCUGCUGCAUGGCGUGGGUUCGAAAGAUUCGGCGGUUGGGGAUGGAAUCGCGGCGUAUCAGCUUGUUGGUGGGGUAGUGGCUUACCAAGGCUUUGACGGGUAGCCGGCCUGGGAGGGUGACCGGCCACAUUGGGACUGAGACACGGCCCAGACUCCUACGGGAGGCAGCAGUGGGGAAUAUUGCACAAUGGGCGGAAGCCUGAUGCAGCAACGCCGCGUGCGGGAUGACGGCCUUCGGGUUGUAAACCGCUUUUGGCUGGGACGAAGCGAGAGUGACGGUAAUUGGUGAAUAAGCACCGGCUAACUACGUG
This 468-nucleotide ribosomal RNA is filed under the name uncultured bacterium. Its description in RNAcentral is "partial 16S ribosomal RNA". It matches the Rfam family "Bacterial small subunit ribosomal RNA", at positions 28 to 507 of the family's 1533-position model. The record is from RNAcentral.